GAUGAAGAACGCAGCGAAACGCGAUAGUUAAUGUGAAUUGCAGAAUUCAGUGAAUCAUCGAAUCUUUGAACGCACAUUGCGCCCCUUGGUAUCCCGAGGGGCAUGCCUGUUCGAGCGUCAUUUCACCACUCAAGCCUGGCUUGGUGUUGGGCGACGUCCCCUUUGGGGACGCGCCUCGAAACGCUCGGCGGCGUGGCACCGGCUUUAAGCGUAGCAGAAUCUUUCGCUUUGGAAGUCGGGGCCCCGUCUGCCGGAAGACCUACUCGCAAGGUUGACCUCGGAUCAGGCAGGGAUACCCGCUGAACUUAAGCAUAUCAAUAAGCGGAGGA
RNAcentral lists this unclassified non-coding RNA (329 nucleotides) under soil metagenome. RNAcentral describes it as "partial contains 5.8S ribosomal RNA, internal transcribed spacer 2, and large subunit ribosomal RNA". The stretch from base 1 to 120 matches the Rfam family "5.8S ribosomal RNA", at positions 35 to 154 of the family's 154-position model. The record is from RNAcentral.